GACGAACGCUGGCGGCGUGCUUAACACAUGCAAGUCGAGCGGUAAGGCCCUUCGGGGUACACGAGCGGCGAACGGGUGAGUAACACGUGGGUGACCUGCCCUCCACUUCGGGAUAAGCCUGGGAAACUGGGUCUAAUACCGGAUAGGACCUUGGAACGCAUGUUUCUUGGUGGAAAGUUUUGUCGGUGGGGGAUGGGCCCGCGGUCUAUCAGCUUGUUGGUGGGGUGAUGGCCUACCAAGGCGACGACGGAUAGCCGGCCUGAGAGGGUGAUCGGCCACACUGGGACUGAGACACGGCCCAGACUCCUACGGGAGGCAGCAGUGGGGAAUCUUGCGCAAUGGGCGGAAGCCUGACGCAGCAACGCCGCGUGAGGGAUGACGGCCUUCGGGUUGUAAACCUCUUUCGCGAUCGACGAAGGUCAUGUUUGUGCAUGGCUGACGGUAGGUCGAGAAGAAGCACCGGCCAACUACGUGCCAGCAGCCG
RNAcentral lists this ribosomal RNA (484 nucleotides) under uncultured bacterium. Its description in RNAcentral is "bacterial SSU rRNA". It matches the Rfam family "Bacterial small subunit ribosomal RNA", at positions 28 to 517 of the family's 1533-position model. The record is from RNAcentral.